This is a non-coding RNA of Chiloscyllium plagiosum (whitespotted bambooshark), 2031 nucleotides long. Lineage: Eukaryota; Metazoa; Chordata; Chondrichthyes; Orectolobiformes; Hemiscylliidae. The record is from RefSeq and is a predicted model, not a curated record.
AUGAGCCCUUCGGGCAUGAGAAGGGCUCAUGCCCGAAACGUCGAUGCUCCGAGUUACUGACCAUAUCAAAUUGAUGGCUAAGCAUACCUUAAAUUCAUUAAGGAAGUAUUCAAUGAACUUACUGUCCCUAAGAAUAAAGGGAUCCAUUCGCCAGUGCCGAGAGCCUGCAACAUUGCCCUCAAACUCGGUCUCUAAAUAAACUGCUGCAUGAUCCGAAAUAGUAACAUUUCCAAUUAUACAGGACAUUAUGGAAUCCAAAGGUAAUACAGGGGUUAGGAAAAAUCAAUCCUGAUAUGACACUUGCACUGAUUAGAAAAGAACAUAAUGUCCCUGCCCAUGGGGCGGAGACACCUCCAGACAUCCACCAAUCCCAAUUCUGCACACAAGUCCAUUAAUUGUGAAGAACAUGUUAAGGGGCCUUUACGCAUUCUAUCCACCGCGGGAUGCAUGAGGCAAUUAAAGUCUCCCCCUAUAAUAAUCUGCUGUGGUGCAAGAGCCAUCAAAAACUUAAGGGGGUGCGCUGGGGGACAAGAAACAUUCAACAUACCAUACUCUUCUCCAUGUACGGAGGCCCUAAGAAACAUAAGCUACCUAUAAUCAUCUUUAAUCUGUUCUAGCAACUUAAAUGAAAGGUUCUUCCUCAUUAGUAUGGCCAAUCCCCUGCUCCUCGCAUUGAAGGAAGAAAAGUACACCUGAUCAAAUCCACCCUGUUGCAAUUUCAAAUGAUCUUUAUCAUUGAGAUGAGUCUCCUAUAAAAGGGUGAUGUCCACCCUCUCAUUUCUAAGAGUAGAAAGCACUUUUUCCUUCUAACUGGUGAAUGGAUCCCUCUGACAUUCUAAGUACGCCAUUUGAGGACACAGUUACAAUUAGCCAUGACAUCAUUUAAUCUCCAAAAAGGAAGAAUUCAACUUAUCAACUGCUGACCAUAGACAAAAAAAAGUUCACACCACCUAAAAAAUACACAAGCUAAAACUACUACAUCUAACACCCUAAUAACUACAUAUACAAAAAAAAAGACUAAACCAAAUACAAAACACUUAACAAGGGACUCUACCUUCUCCCCACAGGGGGAACUUACAUAGCCCAAAAACACCUUUAUAUCUCCUUUCAGCUUGACUACAUCCCAGAGUCAGGCCAAAAAAAGGAGAAAGAAUAAAAAAAACUUAAUAAGGAAACUAAAAGUAGACACUUUACCCAUCCCUAAAUAUACAUUAUCACUCAUUAAUAUCAGGGGAAAAAAAGGUGUUCAGCAAAAUCUUCUUUAAAAAAAAGGGAUAGAAGGAAAAAAGAAACACUUAAUGUGCACAUCCUUUAAGUUAUCUGACCUAUUUUAGAGUGCCCAAAAUCCUUUUUCACUUUUUCUGAAGAGUCAAAAGAAUACAGAGACCGAUCAUAUGGAAAGCGAAGCACAGCCGGGUACCUGAGGGAAUACUGAUUACCAAGGCCUGUCAGCCUUUUCUUGGCUUCAUUAAAAGGUUUUCCUUUUACAAUUUUACAACUGCAGAGAGGUCCUGAAGAACAUAAUCUUGGAACCUUGGUAAGUUAAAACCUGGGAAUCCUGUCACUUUAUUCUGGAGGUCUCCAUAACUUUCACUUUGUCCCUGAGCUGUGUAGUUGCAUUAGGACCACGUGAGGGCGUCCGUCCGAGCAAGGCCUGCGCAUCGCGACUCGAUGGGCCCUUUCAACUUUCACCUGGCCCGACACAUCCUCCAGGCCCAGGAAUCACGGCAGCCAGGUUUCAAAGAAGCUUACUGGCUGACUGCCUUCUACACCGUCUGGCAGCCCCACAACAUGAAUGUUCUUCUGGCUACCUGUUUUCAAGGUCAUCAAUUUGCUCCUGUAAGUUUCGCAAGCUCCGUAGCCAGGGCCUGGUGAGUGAACGACUCCAAUAGGCUAACUGCGGCCGCGGAAGUGUCCUGCUGCUCAGCACAAGGAUUUGGACUGAACUCAACUCCAGAUUCCACUACCUUAAAAUUAUGACCCCUCGUGACAGCCAUUUCUGCCCUGGGGAAAAGUCUCUGCCUCUCAUUA